AUGUUGUUUGGCUUCAAGAUGCUGCUUUACUUCUUUUAUCUUUCUUUUCUAGUCUGGCCUCCUGAUUAUCUCCACUGAAUGUAUAGUUUAGCUAUCUGCAUAUAGUUUAGCUGGCAGCAAAUAUUUGUACAGAAUUUAUCCUCAGAUCUUAAGACUCUUUCUCUCUGUAUUUUCCUAGAUGUGUAGUUCCUUUAACACUUCUUAAUUCUGCUGUCUAACAACUCAAGCCAAUAUGGUGUCCACUUGCAGCCUUCAAAUCUAUAUGGUACCAGAGGAAUACACUCA
Molecule: long non-coding RNA, 285 nt
Filed under: Homo sapiens (human)
Lineage: Eukaryota; Metazoa; Chordata; Mammalia; Primates; Hominidae
Description: non-protein coding lnc-OR10X1-5:1
Source: RNAcentral